RNAcentral lists this ribosomal RNA (244 nucleotides) under uncultured bacterium. Its description in RNAcentral is "partial 16S ribosomal RNA". It matches the Rfam family "Bacterial small subunit ribosomal RNA", at positions 118 to 346 of the family's 1533-position model. The record is from RNAcentral.
UGGGUAACCUGCCUACAAAGAGGGGAAUAGCCUCCCGAAAGGGAGAUUAAUAACCGCAUAAUAUGUUUAGGUCGCAUGACUUUAACAUCAAAGGAUUUUCUUUUAAGAAAUUCCACUUUGAGAUGGACCCGCGGCGCAUUAGCUAGUUGGUGAGGUAACGGCUCACCAAGGCAACGAUGCGUAGCCGACCUGAGAGGGUGAUCGGCCACAUUGGAACUGAGACACGGUCCAGCUCCGUAGGAGG